This 2455-nucleotide long non-coding RNA is filed under the name Manihot esculenta (cassava). Its description in RNAcentral is "long non-coding RNA (MESC_LNC002061)". The record is from RNAcentral. Lineage: Eukaryota; Viridiplantae; Streptophyta; Magnoliopsida; Malpighiales; Euphorbiaceae.
UGCAAACAGAACAAAACGGCAAAAGCGCAGGCCAUCAGAUGGAUGCUCGAAAUGUAUGAAAGACCACGGGAAGUUCUUUGUUCGUUUCAGUUAGGGCAAUGGAAGAAGAAGAAGACCAUUUAGCAUUGCCAUCUUCGUCGGCUUGAUAAUUUACUUUUCAGAUCUCACGGUGAAGAAUAUAUCAGCUACUGAUCCUGGUAAAACCUAAAGCUAAGCUCUUUCCCGGUGUAGCCUGCAAUGUUUGGUUUUUUCCGUUCAAGGUUACAAUUAAAUAAUAUUUUUCCUCUUUUUGUUUCAAAUGCUCAACUGGGUGUUCUUCCUUUUCAGUCAAUAUUCGUAAUCAGAUCCUUUUCAUCUAUCAAAUCUUCUAAUUUGAAUGAUCGCUCAUUUACAGUUUCUUAUCUCGUAAAUUCAUGUGGAUUAACCCUAAACUCUGCUCAAACUAUCUCUAAGAGGGUAUGUCUUAAAACCCCUGAAGGACCAGAAUCAGUACUUAGGCUUCUCAGAGAACAUGCCUUCACCAAUUCCCAAAUCUCCAGUGUUGUUAAGAUGAAGCCCAUAGUGCUUUUACUUCAUUCUGAAAGGACUCUUUUGCCCAAACUUGAGUUUCUGUAUUCUAUUGGUGUUUCAAGAGAAGAGCUUCCAAUAAUUGUUUCUAAGAAUCCAGAAUUGUUGUGUAGAAGUAUAGAGCGAUAUCUGUCCCCACAUUAUCAUAUCCUCAAAAGUGUACUUGUUUGUGAUGAAAAAGUGAUUAAGAGUAUGAAACGCUGGUUAAAAGCUUCUAUAGUGCUUUCGAAGAACGACUUUUUUGCCAAUUUAUCACUCUUAAGAGGGCUUCGAAUUCCUCAGUCUUCCAUCUCUGUAUUGGUCAUCUAUCAUCCCAUGAUUAUGUGCCUAAAAGCUUUGCAUUUUGCUGAAGGUGUUAAGAAAAUUAUUAAAACAGGAUUUGAUCCUUCAGAAGUCAAAUUUGUUAAGGCGCUCAAUAUUUUGCUUGGAAUGACGCAGAAAACAUGGGAUCAUAAAAUGGAGGCUUUCAAGAGGUGGGGUUUUUCUGAAGAAGAGAUUUGGUCAAUUUUCAGAAAGAGUCCCUCGGCUAUGGCUAUAUCUGAAACGAAUCUUAUGCGUAAAAUGAAUUUUUUUGUAUGCAAGAUGGGUUGGCAGCCUGCUGCUGUUGGUAGAGUUCCAGUUGUUCUGGCCUAUGGUUUGGAAUCUAGGAUUAUGCCUAGAUGUUCAGUUGUGAGAGUUUUGCUUUUGAAGGGUUUGAUCAAGGAUGAUAUCCCGAUACCCUCGAUCUUGACCAGCUGCGAAAAAAGCUUCUUGCAAAGAUUUGUGAACAAGUAUCAAGAUCAGGUGCCCCAAUUGUUGGAUAUUUUCCAAGGAAAGAUGGGGCUCACAGAACUUGAGUUUGAUUUUGAUGAUAAACCUGCAAUUUUGUAUUAGGAAAUAUGUAGCAUGCAGUGUCAAUCUAGGGAUUUCCAUUUGGUGAUCUUUUAUGAUUUGGUCCCUUAAUGGUGAACUAGCAAAGCUUGUAUGAGUAGCAUUGUUAACUUGUCAUUAUUAUCUUAGAGGAUUACUUUUGAUAGUUUAGUUUAUUACAUUUUCAUUUAAAGGUACUACUUCACAGAACUGAUGAUAUGAGUAGCUUUGAGAACUAAAUUUCACUUUUCAAUCCUGUCUUGGUCCUUGGAUGGCUUUUUUUUGCCCUGAUCGUUCGGUCAAUUACUUCAACUAUUAAGCUUUGAGUGCUUGCUUAUAUUUUGUGUUUUGUAAGAGAAAGAUGAUGGCUGAUUGGCUUCCCUUUCUUCAGAUUCGACCUAAAGAUAAAUUGGGGUGCAUUAAAUUGUUAUCCAAAACUAUGUAGCUUGUUGAAGCUUGCUAAAUUGUGUAGAAAAGAAUCAAGGGUUUAUGCCUAUGGGAAGGGGUAUAAACAGUAGCAAAUAUGUUAAGCAGGAACACUAAGUGGAGUGCUCUAAAGCUAUUAUGUCUUUAUAGAGGAUAUAGAAAGUGUCAUAUGUACUAAGCAGGGAUUGAAAAAAUUGCAUCUUGAUUCUCUUAACCAUGUAGAUUUGCAUUUCUGGCUUACCCUUUUUUUUUUUGUUAAAUGAUAGACGCACACUGACCGUAGCUACUGCAUUAAGUUAAGACCUUGAUGGAUGUGAGAUUUCAAAGGACUGGGUUUUCGAGAUUUCAAAGGACCGGCUCAUGGGGCACGCCCCCGAAGGAAGCUCACUCUAUUUGUCUAGGAAACAGGUGGGGUUGUUCUGCACCUAUGAAUAUAUGAUAUAAAUACGUAGAGUUGAAUGUUAGUUUCACUUUCUUUUUAUAUUAUAGAUCCAUAUGAAUCCUUUUUUCCAGCGAAACGUCAAAUUUUCCUCCAAAUUCUAGGGCAGCCUCCUUACUUGGUAACAACUGGAAGAUGUGCAGCUCCAUUAUACUUGCUUUUCAAAACUUAGAC